This 1346-nucleotide ribosomal RNA is filed under the name uncultured bacterium. RNAcentral's name for it is "partial 16S ribosomal RNA". It matches the Rfam family "Bacterial small subunit ribosomal RNA", at positions 28 to 1381 of the family's 1533-position model. The record is from RNAcentral.
GACGAACGCUGGCGGCGUGCUUAACACAUGCAAGUCUAACGGAAAGGCCCUGCUUUUGUGGGGUGCUCGAGUGGCGAACGGGUGAGUAACACGUGAGUAACCUGCCCUUGACUUUGGGAUAACUUCAGGAAACUGGGGCUAAUACCGGAUAGGAGCUCCUGCUGCAUGGUGGGGGUUGGAAAGUUUCGGCGGUUGGGGAUGGACUCGCGGCUUAUCAGCUUGUUGGUGGGGUAGUGGCUUACCAAGGCUUUGACGGGUAGCCGGCCUGAGAGGGUGACCGGCCACAUUGGGACUGAGAUACGGCCCAGACUCCUACGGGAGGCAGCAGUGGGGAAUAUUGCACAAUGGGCGGAAGCCUGAUGCAGCAACGCCGCGUGCGGGAUGACGGCCUUCGGGUUGUAAACCGCUUUCGCCUGUGACGAAGCGUGAGUGACGGUAAUGGGUAAAGAAGCACCGGCUAACUACGUGCCAGCAGCCGCGGUGAUACGUAGGGUGCGAGCGUUGUCCGGAUUUAUUGGGCGUAAAGGGCUCGUAGGUGGUUGAUCGCGUCGGAAGUGUAAUCUUGGGGCUUAACCCUGAGCGUGCUUUCGAUACGGGUUGACUUGAGGAAGGUAGGGGAGAAUGGAAUUCCUGGUGGAGCGGUGGAAUGCGCAGAUAUCAGGAGGAACACCAGUGGCGAAGGCGGUUCUCUGGGCCUUUCCUGACGCUGAGGAGCGAAAGCGUGGGGAGCGAACAGGCUUAGAUACCCUGGUAGUCCACGCUGUAAACGGUGGGUACUAGGUGUGGGGUCCAUUCCACGGGUUCCGUGCCGUAGCUAACGCUUUAAGUACCCCGCCUGGGGAGUACGGCCGCAAGGCUAAAACUCAAAGGAAUUGACGGGGCCCCGCACAAGCGGCGGAGCAUGCGGAUUAAUUCGAUGCAACGCGUAGAACCUUACCUGGGUUUGACAUGGAUCGGGAGUGCUCAGAGAUGGGUGUGCCUCUUUUGGGGUCGGUUCACAGGUGGUGCAUGGCUGUCGUCAGCUCGUGUCGUGAGAUGUUGGGUUAAGUCCCGCAACGAGCGCAACCCUUGUUCACUGUUGCCAGCACGUUAUGGUGGGGACUCAGUGGAGACCGCCGGGGUCAACUCGGAGGAAGGUGGGGAUGACGUCAAGUCAUCAUGCCCCUUAUGUCCAGGGCUUCACGCAUGCUACAAUGGCUGGUACAGAGAGUGGCGAGCCUGUGAGGGUGAGCGAAUCUCGGAAAGCCGGUCUCAGUUCGGAUUGGGGUCUGCAACUCGACCUCAUGAAGUCGGAGUCGCUAGUAAUCGCAGAUCAGCAACGCUGCGGUGAAUACGUUCCCGGGGCU